This 30-nucleotide non-coding RNA is filed under the name Rattus norvegicus (Norway rat). Lineage: Eukaryota; Metazoa; Chordata; Mammalia; Rodentia; Muridae. The record is from RNAcentral.
UCUCUCUUUCGAAGAACUUUGGAACCUCCU